GGGGAUGAUCGGUUUCGACGGUACUUGCCGAAACUGAAUGAAGCGGGUCGAGAAUGCAGAGUUAUCUCGUUAACGUCCUCUGCAAACUAUAGGUGCCAAAUCAAACCGCACCGACUUCGCCCUAGCUGCAUAAGCUAGCCUCGAGGUCCGUCAGCCUAAAUUUGAUUUCGUUUUAGGUACUGGCGUCAUUUAGAAAUCUUGCUGGGUAGCUACGCCUUAGGGCUACUUGGGACUUUAACUCAGGCUGGACUCGUCGGUUAGGUCGCUUCAAGCUUUGACCGGAGUCGAGUAAAACAGCAUUGAAGCUACACCCGUAGAAGAGUCAGAAUCCAAAUAUCGGACGGGGGUUCAAUUCCCCCCAUCUCCACCA
Molecule: transfer-messenger RNA, 370 nt
Filed under: Actinomycetota bacterium
Lineage: Bacteria; Bacillati; Actinomycetota
Also listed under: 1 other name
Description: Actinobacteria bacterium transfer-messenger RNA
Rfam family: transfer-messenger RNA
About the family: Bacterial tmRNA, also known as 10Sa RNA or SsrA, is named for its dual tRNA and mRNA-like properties.
Source: RNAcentral